Molecule: ribosomal RNA, 496 nt
Filed under: uncultured bacterium
Lineage: Bacteria
Description: partial 16S ribosomal RNA
Rfam family: Bacterial small subunit ribosomal RNA
Source: RNAcentral
GAUGAACGCUGGCGGCGUGCCUAAUACAUGCAAGUCGAGCGAACAGAUGAGGAGCUUGCUCCUCUGACGUUAGCGGCGGACGGGUGAGUAACACGUGGAUAACCUACCUAUAAGACUGGGAUAACUUCGGGAAACCGGAGCUAAUACCGGAUAAUAUAUUGAACCGCAUGGUUCAAUAGUGAAAGACGGUUUUGCUGUCACUUAUAGAUGGAUCCGCGCCGCAUUAGCUAGUUGGUAAGGUAACGGCUUACCAAGGCGACGAUGCGUAGCCGACCUGAGAGGGUGAUCGGCCACACUGGAUCGGAGACACGGUCCAGACUCCUACGGGAGGCAGCAGUAGGGAAUCUUCCGCAAUGGGCGAAAGCCUGACGGAGCAACGCCGCGUGAGUGAUGAAGGUCUUCGGAUCGUAAAACUCUGUUAUUAGGGAAGAACAAAUGUGUAAGUAACUAUGCACGUCUGGACGGUACCUAAGCAGAAAGCCACGGCUAACUACGU